GCGGUUGCUUCCAUGCAGUCGUACGAGAGUUUUUAACUCAAGUGGCGGACGGGUGAGUAACACGUAAGAAUUUACCUUUAGGAGGGGGACAACAACGGGAAACUGUUGCUAAUACCCCAUAUGCUUUCGAGUGAAAUGGAUUUAUCCGCCUAGAGAGAGGCUUGCGGCUGAUUAGCUUGUUGGUGAGGUAAUGGCUCACCAAGGCGACGAUCAGUAUCUGGUUUGAGAGGACGAUCAGACACACUGGAACUGAGACACGGUCCAGACUCCUACGGGAGGCAGCAGUGGGGAAUUUUCCGCAAUGGGCGAAAGCCUGACGGAGCAAUACCGCGUGAGGGAUGACGGCCUAUGGGUUGUAAACCUCUUUUUUCAGGGAGGAAUCAAUGACGUGUACCUGAAGAAUAAGCAUCGGCUAACUCCGUGCCAGCAGCCGCGGUAAGACGGAGGAUGCAAGUGUUAUCCGGAAUCACUGGGCGUAAAGCGUCUGUAGGUGGUCAAAUAAGUCAACUGUUAAAUCUUGAGGCUCAACCUCAAAACCGCAGUCGAAACUAUUAGACUAGAGUAUAGUAGGGGUAAAGGGAAUUUCCAGUGGAGCGGUGAAAUGCGUAGAGAUUGGAAGGAACACCGAUGGCGAAGGCACUUUACUGGGCUAUUACUAACACUCAGAGACGAAAGCUAGGGUAGCAAAUGGGAUUA
RNAcentral lists this ribosomal RNA (696 nucleotides) under uncultured bacterium. RNAcentral describes it as "bacterial SSU rRNA". It matches the Rfam family "Bacterial small subunit ribosomal RNA", at positions 39 to 780 of the family's 1533-position model. The record is from RNAcentral.